Oxyura jamaicensis (ruddy duck) is the source of this 1981-nucleotide long non-coding RNA. RefSeq lists it as uncharacterized. The transcript is spliced from 3 exons. The record is from RefSeq and is a predicted model, not a curated record. NCBI's taxonomy places the organism in Eukaryota, Metazoa, Chordata, Aves, Anseriformes, Anatidae.
AAGGUCCCCAGGGUCAGAGCUUCAGAUCCAGGGACAACACCAAGCUGUGUGACCAUGAGACCAGCUCAUGCCAAGGCCAUUUGCAGCACUGUGUGUCCCAUCCCAGCCAGGCAUGCCUGGCCUCUGAGCCACCUCAGCAUGCCUGAGCUCCUCCAGGACUGGCAUAGGAGAGGAUUUGGAAGGAGGACACCUUUUCCCUAAUGACUGAGUUACAAAGAAACCAGCUUUACUUGGUGUGUCUGAUCUUGGAGCCAUACAGCUGUUGGCUUUCCUCCGAAGAGUGAAUCAAAAAAAAAAAAAAAAAAAAAAAAAAGCAGAGGAAGGAGGGUAUUUGCUACUGUUUAACAGCCCCUGUCCAAGAGAAUACUUGUAAAAAUACAAAAAACAUUAAUUCCUGCCAUGAACCUUGGAAGAUGGCAAAAAACAGUGGAGCCAUUGAGAGUCAGGGGUGUUUGUGUAACCAUCUGACAUUGCAGAGGAAACUCAGAAAGGGGAGGAGAGAGUUUCACCCCCUGCUACAUCUUCCAAAGGUCUCUGCUACAGCUAAAGAAUCCUGCCACAGUCCAGAUUUCACUCUGGGUAGACAUACAGAUCAUGCACACAAUGUCAUUCCUAGUACUUCCAUUUUUAAAAUUUUAUUCUGUUCAGCCAAAUUAAUCUUCCUUGUGGUCAUGCCUCUCAGCUCCCUUCUUUCUCUUGUCUAGCCCCGAAGUAUCCAUCCUAAAGGCUUUUACUCUUUAGGAUGAAAAGGUAAGCUGCUUUGCAAUAUCUGCACUUUUCUGGAAGAACUUUCCAUUUAUCACUGAGGGAAGUCUAUCAAUUUCUUUCUUUGUGUAUCAUCAGAAUUUGGGAUCACUAAGAGGAAUUGAAUGUAUAUGGCAUACUUGACUGUCUGUAUACUCAUGAUAUAUAUUGGACAUUUGCUGUGACAAAAGUCUCACAUGAUUGUGUGACUGUGCAUGUGGACACUUGUGUUAGCUGCUCAGUAACUUCCUUUUUUAUUAUUGAUUGAUCAUUUAUAAGUAGCUUUUCACUUUGGAUAACUCCAGAUAGCACUUCUAUUGCAUUAAUAACUAAUUAUCUGUAUUUAGACUGAGUCCUUCAGUCUGAGAUGAUCUUUUUUUCCUAAUGCAGCUCAUAUGCCUGGGACCAGUGCAAUGGUGUGCUGGCUGGUCAGAACAUGCAUGCAAGAUACAGGUAGCUGAUCUGCAAAUAGUAGGGAACAAAGAGAACAAAAAUAACAGAGAGAGCACACACUGGCAUCAUGAUGUACCAGAACAAACACAUGGAAAUUUCCACUGGGGUUCAAGGCAAAAAGGUUGAUUUUGCAGUAUCCUUAAUUUUUGUAAGCAGUACUAGGAUAUCACACUUCGUAAUUGGUCCUUACAUCUUGAGCUUCUGGCAGGUGGUAGAGCUGGGAGGAGCAAACAGCACCUACAUGGGGAAGCCUGGUAUGAGGGUUUGUAAAGAGAUGCAGCCCUUAACCCCAGCCUGUGCAAUGUGGCCACCCUGGGAUGGCUGGAAGAGACUGCAAGAAUGAUGAGAUCCUCAGGAAAACAAGCUUUUUGCUUGGACAGAACCAGAAAUGAAGACAAAAUCAGGUACUCCCAAUAAGAUAUUUGUUUAGUCCAGAAGGCUUUCUGGAGGAAAUCCUGAGGCUUUGAGACCUAAAAAGGUAGAGAGGGACUUGGAGGGAACAGUUAAUUUCCUUCUUCUAAAUGCCUGCUAUUAAUUAUUUGGAAUAACAGUCACUUAAGAAGCAAUGAAGGACAUUCCUGCCCAGUGACAAUGAGCUGCCGCUCUGAACAACAACCCACUAAAAGCAGCUUCUUUCAAUUCUGAAGCCCACAACCCUUGAUUUGAGAAGCAAGGAAAGACAUGCCAUGCUCAACCUUCUCUGCACUGACUAAUGAUAAAAUCAGAUUUGCCCAUUUCCUCUCAGUGGAAAAGAUCCACCAGACACUGCUGAUCACUUUCCAUC